This 440-nucleotide ribosomal RNA is filed under the name uncultured bacterium. Its description in RNAcentral is "partial 16S ribosomal RNA". It matches the Rfam family "Bacterial small subunit ribosomal RNA", at positions 338 to 795 of the family's 1533-position model. The record is from RNAcentral.
CCUACGGGUGGCAGCAGUAGGGAAUAUUGCUCAAUGGGGGAAACCCUGAAGCAGCAACGCCGCGUGGAGGAUGAAGGUUUUCGGAUUGUAAACUCCUUUUGUUAGAGAAGAUAAUGACGGUAUCUAACGAAUAAGCACCGGCUAACUCCGUGCCAGCAGCCGCGGUAAUACGGAGGGUGCAAGCGUUACUCGGAAUCACUGGGCGUAAAGAGCGCGUAGGCGGGAUAGCAAGUCAGAUGUGAAAUCCUAUGGCUUAACCAUAGAACUGCAGUUGAAACUGUUAUUCUAGAGUAUGGGAGAGGUAGGUGGAAUGCUUGGUGUAGGGGUAAAAUGCGUAGAGAUCAAGAGGAAUACUCAUUGCGAAGGCGACCUGCUAGAACAUAACUGACGCUGAUGUGCGAAAGCGUGGGGAGCAAACAGGAUUAGAUACCCGGGUAGUC